CGCUAGCUACAGGCUUAACACAUGCAAGUCGAGGGGCAGCAUCAUCAAAGCUUGCUUUGAUGGAUGGCGACCGGCGCACGGGUGAGUAACACGUAUCCAACCUGCCGACAACACUGGGAUAGCCUUUCGAAAGAAAGAUUAAUACCGGAUGGCAUAAUUUUCCCGCAUGGGAUAAUUAUUAAAGAAUUUCGGUUGUCGAUGGGGAUGCGUUCCAUUAGGCAGUUGGCGGGGUAACGGCCCACCAAACCAACGAUGGAUAGGGGUUCUGAGAGGAAGGUCCCCCACAUUGGAACUGAGACACGGUCCAAACUCCUACGGGAGGCAGCAGUGAGGAAUAUUGGUCAAUGGACGAGAGUCUGAACCAGCCAAGUAGCGUGAAGGAUGACUGCCCUAUGGGUUGUAAACUUCUUUUAUACGGGAAUAAAGUUAGCCACGUGUGGCUUUUUGUAUGUACCGUAUGAAUAAGGAUCGGCUAACUCCGUGCCAGCAGCCGCGGUAAUACGGAGGAUCCGAGCGUUAUCCGGAUUUAUUGGGUUUAAAGGGAGCGUAGGCGGGUUGUUAAGUCAGUUGUGAAAGUUUGCGGCUCAACCGUAAAAUUGCAGUUGAUACUGGCGACCUUGAGUGCAACAGAGGUAGGCGGAAUUCGUGGUGUAGCGGUGAAAUGCUUAGAUAUCACGAAGAACUCCGAUUGCGAAGGCAGCUUACUGGAUUGUAACUGACGCUGAUGCUCGAAAGUGUGGGUAUCAAACAGGAUUAGAUACCCUGGUAGUUCACACAGUAAACGAUGAAUACUCGCUGUUGGCGAUAUACGGUCAGCGGCCAAGCGAAAGCAUUAAGUAUUCCACCUGGGGAGUACGCCGGCAACGGUGAAACUCAAAGGAAUUGACGGGGGCCCGCACAAGCGGAGGAACAUGUGGUUUAAUUCGAUGAUACGCGAGGAACCUUACCCGGGCUUAAAUUGCAACUGACGGAACCGGAAACGGUUCUUUCUUCGGACAGUUGUGAAGGUGCUGCAUGGUUGUCGUCAGCUCGUGCCGUGAGGUGUCGGCUUAAGUGCCAUAACGAGCGCAACCCUUACGGGUAGUUACCAUCAGGUUAUGCUGGGGACUCUACCCGGACUGCCGUCGUAAGAUGUGAGGAAGGUGGGGAUGACGUCAAAUCAGCACGGCCCUUACGUCCGGGGCUACACACGUGUUACAAUGGGGGGUACAGAAGGUAGCUACACGGCGACGUGGUGCUAAUCCCAAAAGCCUCUCUCAGUUCGGAUUGGAGUCUGCAACCCGACUCCAUGAAGCUGGAUUCGCUAGUAAUCGCGCAUCAGCCACGGCGCGGUGAAUACGUUCCCGGGCCUUGUACACACCGCCCGUCAAGCCAUGAAAGCCGGGGGUACCUGAAGUACGUAACCGCGAGGAGCGUCCUAGGGUAAAACUGGUGA
This 1435-nucleotide ribosomal RNA is filed under the name uncultured organism. RNAcentral's name for it is "SSU rRNA". It matches the Rfam family "Bacterial small subunit ribosomal RNA". The record is from RNAcentral.